AUGACUGUCACAUGGACAAGUGGGUAUGGCAUCAGUGAGGCGCACCCCUUUGUUGAAUGGGGCAUGAAAGGGAGCCAUCCUGUGCACGCGACAGCUGACACUGUCACCUUUGGUCGCGAGAGCCUCUGUGGAGAACCUGCUCGUAGUGUUGGUUGGAGGGAUCCAGGCUUCAUACACACAGCUUUCCUGAAGAAUCUAUCACCAGAGAAAGAAUACUACUACAAAAUCGCACACACGCUCCAUGGUGGAAAAGUUAUAUGGGGCAAGCCCAAAUCCUUCAGAGCACCUCCUUAUCCCGGGCAAAAGUCACUGCAGCGGGUUGUUAUUUUCGGUGACAUGGGAAAGGACGAGAGAGACGGAAGCAACGAGUACCAGAAUUACCAGCCUGCGUCACUCAACACCACCGACGCGCUGAUCAGGGACCUCGACAACACCGACAUCGUGUUCCACGUCGGCGACAUCUCCUACGCUAACGGCUAUCUGUCGCAGUGGGAUCAGUUCACGCAGCAGGUCGAGCCAAUCACCUCUCGAGUACCCUACAUGAUCGCAAGGCGGGAACCACGAGCGAGAUUUCCCCAACAGCGGGUCGCUGUACAACGGCACGGACUCCGGCAGGGAGUGCGGGGUGCCGGCCGAGACCAUAUACUACGCGCCGACGGAGAAGAGGGACAACUACUGGUACUCCAUGGACUACGGGAUGUUCCGGUUCUGCGUGGCGGACAGCGAGCACGACUGGCGGGAGGGCACGGAGCAGUACAGUACAGGUUUCUCGACCGCUGCCUGGGCAGCGUGGACCGGGCGAAGCAGCCGUGGCUGGUCUUCAUCGCGCACCGUGUCCUCGGCUACUCCUCGGGCUUCUUCUACGGCUACGACGGGGCGUUCGCGGAGCCCAUGGCGCGGCAGAGCCUGGAGGGGCUGUGGCGGCGGCACCGGGUGGACGUCGCCUUCUACGGCCACGUCCACCAGUACGAGCGGACGUGCCCUGUCUACGAGGAGAGGUGCGUGCCGGACGGGCACGGCACCGUCCACGUCGUCGUCGGGGGCGGCGGCAGCCACCUGAGCAGCUUCACCGCCGAGGCCCCGCCGUGGAGCGUGUACCGGGAGAUGGACUACGGUUUCGGCAAGCUCACGGCGUCCGACGCCAGGUCGCUCCAGUUCGAGUACCGGCGGUCCAGCGACGGCAAGGUGUACGACAGCUUCACCCUGCACAGGGACUGA
RNAcentral lists this ribosomal RNA (1218 nucleotides) under Triticum aestivum (bread wheat). RNAcentral's name for it is "partial small subunit ribosomal RNA". The record is from RNAcentral. Lineage: Eukaryota; Viridiplantae; Streptophyta; Magnoliopsida; Poales; Poaceae.